CCGCYGCCUUCGUCUCGGAUGCGAUCUCCUUGGAGUCGGGUUGCUUGGGAGUGCASCCCUAAUCWGGUGGUAAACYACACCUAAGGCUAAAUACCGCCGUGAGACCGAUAGCAAACAAGUACCGUGAGGGAAAGUUGCAAAGAACUUUGAAGAGAGAGUUCAAGAGUACGUGAAACUGCUCAGAGGUAAACGGGUGGGCCCUCGAAAUCCUGUGGCGAGAGGAUUCAGUCUGGCGGGGCGGACGUGCAUUCGGAAGACCGAGCAGGGCUUCCCGCUUACCGGGGCCGUCCGAUAGCGCGCCUUCCGCCUUUCCAGACGCAUUUGUCUCUCGUCCGAAGGACGCUGCAGCCGGUCUGGCAGUGCAAGCGCGACGGCCUGAAGGUCGGGAAACGGCAGGUGGCCGGCGGCUCGCCUCGUGCGGGCUGUCGGUUGUUAGCCAUCCCGUCAGUGGCCCGUCGCCAGACCGAGGUGUCGCGAGUCCCGUCAGGGACUCUCCGUCUCCACCCAGCAGUUGCGGGACAGGACGCGGCAAGGGAACCGUGCCACCGCCGUCGCACUCUUACGGAGUGGGCGGAGGUGUCCGGGACCCCGUUGGCUGCGACGGACCCGUUGGGGACCGGAGGCUGGCAGCGAGUAGGUCGGUCACCCACCCGACCCGUCUUGAAACACGGACCAAGGAGUCUAACAU
Molecule: ribosomal RNA, 688 nt
Filed under: Thiratoscirtina cf. Alfenus sp. A MRB234
Lineage: Eukaryota; Metazoa; Arthropoda; Arachnida; Araneae; Salticidae
Description: eukaryotic LSU rRNA
Rfam family: Eukaryotic large subunit ribosomal RNA
Source: RNAcentral